GUUUACAACCACACCACCCUGAGCACGCCCGGUCUCGUCCGAUCUCGGAAGCUAAGCAGGGUCGGGCUUGGUUAGUACUUGGAUGGGAGACCGCCUGGGAAUACCAGGUGCUGUAAGCU
This 119-nucleotide ribosomal RNA is filed under the name Sinocyclocheilus rhinocerous. The record is from RNAcentral. Lineage: Eukaryota; Metazoa; Chordata; Actinopteri; Cypriniformes; Cyprinidae.